UACAGAGGAGCCAAGCGUUGUCCGGAUUGACUGGGCGUAAAGCGCACGCAGGCGGUCUGGCGCGUGGGGUGUGAAAUCUGGCCGCUUAACGGCCAGGCGCCAUCCCAUACGGCCGGACUGGAGGGAUGCAGAGGUCGAUGGAAUUGCCGGUGUAGUGGUGAAAUUCGUAGAUAUUCGCAAGAACACCAGUGGCGAAGGCGGCUCACUGGCCCGGUACUGACGCUGAGGUGCGAAAGCGUGGGAGCAAACAGG
Molecule: ribosomal RNA, 252 nt
Filed under: uncultured bacterium
Lineage: Bacteria
Description: partial 16S ribosomal RNA
Rfam family: Bacterial small subunit ribosomal RNA
Source: RNAcentral